This 1005-nucleotide long non-coding RNA is filed under the name Amphibalanus amphitrite. RNAcentral's name for it is "uncharacterized LOC122366695". Lineage: Eukaryota; Metazoa; Arthropoda; Thecostraca; Balanomorpha; Balanidae. The record is from RNAcentral.
UUUAAACAAACCAGUAGAACGUAUUGCAGCAAAAUUAAACAUUAAAAGUUGCAAAAUCAGAUGACAUUUUCUCCCAGCACCGGUGCAUUAGUUUGCUCUCAGGAAACUCUGUUCAAAAUAGAAUGGCUGACCGUAACUGUGCAUUUAUUGUUGUGGCGUACAUUAAUAGCAUCCAUUUGUUUGUUAUUCAGAGUCGCAGCACCUCUGUCGAUGCGGAGGUCACGGCCGCCACCGCCGACCCCGGUGAGGGCACCAGCGCGAGCGGGCCGCCGGCGAUGGACAUUGAGGAGAGCUGGCUCGUUAUCGACGAUGCAGUCGACCACCUGCUGCACCGCGCUGGCGAGCACGGAGCUGUGUUUCAGCUAUCCCCAGUACCCAUGGCCGCAAGUUCGAGCUGGCAUGCUCUACGUGGAGGAUGAGACGGUUGUCGAGUUCAAAGAGCUAUAACCUCGGCGGUCGACUUAAGUGACCAGCUGCCGGGACAGAGACUGACCGGCAGAGUUCUGUUGGUGCCUCAUACUUUUCUCUGUUUGUUUCUGUUUUCUGUUCCGCAAGUUUUUGUCAUUAUAACUAGUUGCAGUUGAAUUAGCUUGUUGCAGUUCGUUUAUGUUUUGCUGCAGAGUGUCCCUUAACCGUUAAGAGACGUGAAACGUUGGACGCUAAUGAAUGAGAUACAAGGCACUUUGAUGUUAAGCACAGGCAGAGCUUUGGAGUCGUAAAUGUAUCAGUUAACCAAACCAUUGAAACUGUUUUUGCGUAUGAUUAUUCGGAAACUGCGUCUUUCACAUGCCAUGGUUGCACGACCUUUCUAUAGAAUACGAAAUAACAUAAUCGCACAUAAGACUGUGAAAUAGAAAGCUACUUGGUAUAAUAGUCUGCUCCUUAUGAUCGGUUCCUAUAGCUGGUCUGGUCUUGCAACCAGCUAUGAUCAUUGAGCGUUACCGUCCAUAAUAGGUUGUCCAGCUUGCUUGUUCGUAUGUGCAUGAAAUACAGAUUUAACUUUGC